Molecule: ribosomal RNA, 225 nt
Filed under: uncultured bacterium
Lineage: Bacteria
Description: partial 16S ribosomal RNA
Rfam family: Bacterial small subunit ribosomal RNA
Source: RNAcentral
UACGUAGGGGGCAAGCGUUGUCCGGAUUUAUUGGGCGUAAAGAGCGUGUAGGCGGUUAGGUAGGUCCGUUGUGAAAACUCGAGGCUCAACCUCGAGACGCCGAUGGAAACCAUCUAACUAGAGUCCGGAAGAGGAGAAUGGAAUUCCUGGUGUAGCGGUGAAAUGCGCAGAUAUCAGGAAGAACACCCGUGGCGAAGGCGGCUCUCGUGGGACGGUACUGACGCU